AUAUUAACAGAAAAGUAUUCCUGUCGUUCUGUAUCUAUUGCUGCGCGUUAGCCUUACCGAUUCUAUAUAAACAUUUCUUUCACGCCUUGUUAGAUGAGAUUCAUACAAGGAGUUUCGGUUGCAUAAUGGAAAAGAAGAUAAAAUAUAUAAUAUGAGUGAACCAACAUCAACAGCAACAGGUACGGCCACCAGGAGUCCACAAACUCCCACUACAAAUGCUACUGCGGCUACUACUACUACUGCUGGUACGGAGCUUCCACCGCCAAUACCACCCAACAAUACCAAGGGCUGGGAUUCAGACGUAACCAAAUCCUAUCCUUCACCGGCCGUUGAAUACGAGCAAGUCGUUCAGAAUGCAGAGAUGUUCAUGCAAACACUACAGGAUCUUCACAGAUAUUUGGGCACCAAGUUUAUGGUGCCUACCAUGGGAGGAAAGGCCCUGGAUCUACAUUGCCUUUUCGUGGAGGUAACGUCCCGUGGUGGUCUUGAAAAGGUAUGAAUAAUUGUAUUAUUUUACAUGCAGUUAAGGCACUUCUGACACUUCUCAUACUAUAAACCCACAAGUGGUUUGCUGAGCCAGUAAUCCUACUGAUCCCGGUUGAUAUGCCGACCUUGGUCAAUUUUCCAUCCUUGGUCUCAAGGACCUAUGGGCUAUGAACCCAUGAUAUGAAAUUAAAUAAGUAUUCUGGAUUCUCCAUAGCAUAUGAAUGAUCCAUAUGAUUUGUUGUGCGGUUAUGCAUUCUGGUCUUUUCUACAUGGUAUGAAGUGAAAGUGAUUGGCGGAAGAUUACACAACUAUACUCAACUAUGACUUGGCUAAUUGGGUGGCCACACAAAUCCUGUUCCAACAUUCUGCUCCUUCUGGGCCAUUUCCUCAAUCAGUUUGCAAAUAAUAUUGUUUUAGGCCAUUCUGCUCCUCUUUAUCCUUUGAACAUCUUCAAAUUGCACCAUGUCUGCUUCUGUAGUCUGCUUUACUGUACAUGUACGGAACUAUCUCUGUUCUCCUGUUUUCAUCUAUUGUUGCUUCCCCCAGAUUUAUUCAUAAAAGUUGGUUUCUGAUUCUAUCGUUUAUGGUCUUAGGCUUGCCUCGCAUUUAUCUCAACAUCUACUUACUAGCUAAAGAGGCGUACUCAAUGCAGGAGGCUCCCGCCACUGUAGGGUUUGGGGGAAGGUCAUGUACACAGCCUUACUUCCGCUUCAUGGAGAGGCUGUUUCCUAACUCAAACUUGAGAUUAUUAGGUCGCAAUGGAACAACCUUACCGUUGCGCAGAGGACAGGCCUUAGUGCAGCGGUAAGUUUGCUCUAUUGCAACCUAGUGGUCACAGGUUCAAACAAGGAAACAGCACCUCCACAAAAAAUGGGGGUUAAGGCUGCUUUCAUAUGCCCCUCCCCAGAUUUUGCUGUAGUGUGAACCUUGGGCACUGGGUGCAUUCUUUAUCUACUUACUAGCUAGACAAUAAUUUUAUGAUGAUCCAAAUUGCAAACAACAAGCAAGACAUGGAUUAGCUCAGAUUGCAUGAAUGUUCAAUUUCGAAACUCUGCUAUGCUGGCUUCCUGGCUGUGCAGUAAGUUGGGAUUUGGUUCCUUGUUUAAUCAUUAUUUUGUGUUGGCUGCACUUCUUUACAUGCAUAGUCAUGCCAAAGCCGCCAAAUAAGUUGACAUAGGAAUUUGUCUUGUGUGAUUCCCAGGUACAACAAAGAAUAUUAAACUAGGUGAUUUUGAGGUGGACUUCCAUCUUCCCUAUAGAUUUAAUCACUUAAAAACAAAAUAAAUAUAAAUUGGUGGUUUCCGGUUCUAGGAAGUGGCAGAAUGAAUAAAAAAAAUAUGCUACUUACCUAGGUAAGCAAUAAAUGUUAGUGGCACCCAUGGAGGCUUUCUUAUAUCUUAGGUAAGGAAAGUCUUAAGCUUCAGUGACCAAUACUUGGAACAUUUUGUUGGGAGCACUUGAUUCUUAGAUGGAUGUAAUCUUACCACAAUUUGAUAGCUGAAACUGAAAGUACUGUCAAUCAAUUGUUAGUGGUUCCCAGUGAUUGUAGUCUCUGUUGUGUUUUUUGACAUCUGUAUCUUCUUUCUCCUUCCACAAGUCCAAUGAUUGGAUGGUAGAUUUUAUAUUUCCAUCACCCCCCAAAAAAAAAAAAAAAAGAGAUAUGACAAUGACAAUCUUAAUUCUUUUUUUUUUCUUGUAGGGAAAAUUUCUUGUACCACCCCUGUAACUAACCUGAAUUUCAUCAUUUCAUGUCACACCAAACUUUUUGUGAAAUAUCAAGUACCACCCACACUUGCAUAACAAAAUUCCUUCUAGUUCCACUCCAUUAGUUGAUUCCGGUUAAGUGAUGAUGUCAGCGGGUUAGAGAUUUCCAAAUGGCCAAACCACCCUUGAAGAAGGGUAAACUUACUAAUGUAGAAGUAGGUUACGCUAGGUAAUAACUUCCAAUAUGUAAGCUCAAACCAAUUCAAAUCUGACCCUCUAAUUAGCCUUAACAGAAAUCAGAAAUAGUAGUAGAAACAGAGGAAACAAAACCCAGAAAUUUAGAAGAUCAACACUGUCCCAAGAGAACCAGGACUCACCCAGAAAAUACCGGCAGCAGCAAGAAAUAGCCCAGAAAACCAAGUUCAGCAACAGAAGACAAAUCCCAGACAGAACUGGGUUCGACCAGAACAGGGGAGCACCUGUGAUGGGAGUUUGACGGCUUCUGCAGGAGCUAAGACACUGACUGAUGGCCCUCCUUAGAUCAGCCCUUUAAUUCCUCUGCUGGGCUUCUAAGUGCUGGCCAAAAACUGGGAAGCAGACUUGAUCAAUUCUGUCCAAUACCUUAACUUCUGAGAAUUGAUGGCUGGUUCUGCAACGGAUCCUUAUUCUGCAACUUGGCUCUGUUGGACCUUCAAUCGAUACUUUAAAAAAAAUACUCUCAGGUCUCUCUCUCACAAGCACAGAUAAAGAAGGAAAUAAAGAAAAGAAAAUAGAACAGAUGGAGGGUUGAGAAGGGUGAAAGGGAAUAAUGGAAUGGGUAUCUCACCCCUCAGGUUCUGGGAAUCACACCCCUCAAUGGGUUAGGCAUCUCACCUCUCAAAUAAAGCUAUCUCAGCCAUGAAUGUAACUUAAAUUUUCGUUAAUUAAAUCUCCCCCAGUUACAAUCAGUUAGCCUCUUAAAUAGGCACAGCAGCUCCUUCAUAAUAUAAGGUUACAAAAAUAGGAAACUAACAAGAGAAGGAAAGUAACUAGGAAACUAAUCAACUAAAACAUUCCUAAAUUAAUUACUUGUCUAACAAAGAUUCUAAACACCAAAAAGGCAACACAUUCUUGAAGAAAUAUUGGGCUGGUUACUGUUCACGUGAACAGUAACUUCCUUUAUUUUUCUCCAGCUGUAUCUUUAUAUUAAGGCAAUAUAGCUCCAGACUGAAAUCAGUAGAUAUUUUCUUGAAGAUUCUAACAGUUGCUGCUGAGCUGGCCAGAAGGACCCAAAAAGGAAACCAAAUCUGGGCUUGGUUUGAUGGGGCUAGCAGCCCCUUCCUUGUGCAAGUCUGAUCUACAUCACUUACCCUUUUACCCUUUUUUGAACAGGAAGAGGAGUGUUUAAGGUUCCAGAAUCCGGAAGCCUGUUUUCUGUUUUUAAGCUUACGAUUUUGUUCCUCAUCGUGAGUAAUUUUGGAGCAGCUUCAUAGGGAAAAGAAGUUGAUUUCACCUACUGUGGCUUCAGAGGAGCUAACUUGAGCUUGGACGGCAUAGCCAAGAUCACACCCAAUGGCCUCCUCUUGCUGACUUGCAUAAAAGAUACCAAGCAACAGAAGGGCCUUGCCUUCUACACUAAACCUGAUUCACUUCCUCGACCAAUCAUCAUAUGUUGCUCUCUCCUUCUCAACCACUUUUGUCUUUGCAAUCCUUCGCCAGUACUCCAAUUUGGGUGGCUAUGAGAUUGCCUUUGUCAUCGCCAUAGUUGUCACGGCGACAAGGCGAACCAAGGCGUUAGAGGGCUGUUUAAGCGAUUAAGCGAGAAGGCGCCCGCCUUACGGCGAAUUAGGCGCAAAAAAAGACGUUACUAUUUUUUUUUUAA
This is a long non-coding RNA of Macadamia integrifolia, 4051 nucleotides long. RefSeq lists it as uncharacterized. The transcript is spliced from 3 exons. Lineage: Eukaryota; Viridiplantae; Streptophyta; Magnoliopsida; Proteales; Proteaceae. The record is from RefSeq and is a predicted model, not a curated record.